Molecule: long non-coding RNA, 2705 nt
Organism: Lepisosteus oculatus (spotted gar)
Lineage: Eukaryota; Metazoa; Chordata; Actinopteri; Semionotiformes; Lepisosteidae
Source: RefSeq, a predicted model, not a curated record
UGUACAGAAGGUGCAGUCACAGCCUGGUCAGCUGUAGUGGUUGUGUAAUUGCAUUCACAUGAGAAGUAUAUAAGAUUUGUUUUCUUACAAUCACAGCAUUCGCUCUGAACAGCCUUGGCUUUGUGUUUCUUCAUGGUAAUUUCUUCCCCAUCACUUUUUGUUAAGCACGUGUUUAGAAGCAUGGCUGCUGAAAAAGAAAGGAAUGGUUUGGAGAAUUAUUCUUUUUCUGGUGUGGAUAACUUCUGUGAAAUGCCAGACGCAGACAAUGGUGAGGUCCUGGACUCUACAAAUGAGGAAAGGAUGAACAAGUUGGUGUACUGUGUCACUGAUGUCCCACCCUGGUACAUGUGCAUCAUCCUUGGGACACAGCACUACUUGACUGCAUUUGGUGGCAUCAUUGGCAUUCCCCUGAUCCUGUUCAGAGCGCUGUGCCUGGAGCAUGAUUCACUCACUCAAAGCCACCUGAUCAGCACCAUCUUUUUUGUGUCGGGUAUUUGCACUUUACUUCAGGUCAUGUUUGGAGUGAGGUUGCCCAUUCUCCAAGGAGGGACAUUUAGCUUCCUAGCACCCUCCCUGGCUGUGAUGUCUAUGCCUAAGUGGAAGUGUCCUGCCUGGACUCACAAUGCCAGUCUUGUUAAUACCAGCUCACCAGAGUACAUUGAAGUAUGGCAGAGCAGGAUUCGAGAGCUUCAGGGAUCAAUCAUGGUAGCCUCCUGUUUCCAGAUCUUCGUGGGAUUCUCUGGGCUCAUUGGUCUUCUCAUGAAAUUUAUUGGCCCACUCACCAUUGCACCCACCAUCUCUCUCAUUGGUCUGUCCCUGUUUGAGUCAGCUGGGAAUGAUGCAGGGAUCCACUGGGGGAUCUCUUCAAUGACCACAGUUCUGAUAAUCCUGUUCUCACAGUACCUCCGACACAUCCCUGUUCCCCUCCCUGCCUAUAGCAAGACAAAGAAAUUUCACAUCUCCAGGAUCUAUGUCUUUCAGAUUCUUCCAGUGCUCCUUGGAAUUACAUUUUCAUGGCUUAUUUGCUAUAUCCUGACUGAGUACAAUAUUUUGCCAUCAGAACCUGGGAUGUAUGGCUAUCUGGCUCGCACUGAUAUGAAGGGAGAUGUGCUAGGCAGAGCACCCUGGUUCAGAUUCCCAUACCCAGGCCAAUGGGGUGUUCCAACUGUGAGCCCUGCAGGGGUAUUUGGCAUCUUGGCUGGGGUGAUUUCUUCCAUGAUAGAGUCUGUGGGCGAUUACCAUGCCUGUGCAAGACUAUCUGGUGCUCCUCCUCCACCAAAACAUGCCAUCAACCGAGGAGUGGGUAUUGAAGGCAUUGGCUGCCUGCUGGCAGGUAUAUGGGGUACAGGAAAUGGGACCACCUCCUACAGUGAGAAUGUGGGAGCACUAGGCAUCACUAAGGUGGGGAGCCGGGUGGUAAUUGUUACCAGUGGAAUUCUAAUGAUAGUUAUGGGAACGUUUGGGAAGAUUGGAGCCAUUUUUACCACAAUCCCAACACCAGUUAUUGGUGGAAUGUUCCUUGUUAUGUUUGGUGUCAUAUCUGCUGCUGGAGUUGCAAACCUACAGUAUGCAGAUAUGAACUCAUCCCGGAACCUCUUCAUUUUUGGGUUUUCCAUGUUUUCUGGUCUGGUGAUACCGAACUGGAUAAAUAAGCACCCAAUGGCUAUUGAAACUGGUGUGAUUGAAUUGGACAGUGUUCUACGUGUUUUGUUGACCACCAGUAUGUUUGUGGGAGGUUUCUUUGGAUUCAUUCUUGAUAACACCAUCCCAGGAUCGAAUCAGGAGCGGGGUACUAUAGCUUGGAAAGAUGCCCACCAUGAAGAUCCAGGUGACAUGCUGGAGAGUGGGGAAAUCUAUGAUUUACCUUUUCAAAUUAAUUUCCGCUUUUUCUCUGCACAGUGGGUGCAAUACUUACCUUUCUGUCCUAAACCUCAAACAAAGCAACACCAGCAAACUGUAACAGCCUGUGAGGAAAUUGGACCCAAAGAAGUAAAAUCUACAGAAUUGUUAGACAUGACACAGAUUGCCUACAAUACAAAGUUAUAAACCAUCCUGUUUAUUCAAUAUAUGCUCUCCAUGCAACAUUCAAGUUGAAAAUGACUAAUAGCCUCAGUAGUUGGGUGAAUUUAUUGUGUGUCAAAAUGUUUGUGAAUAAUUUUUGUGCUCAUUCCUUUCCCUCCCCCAAUACUACCCAACUGAUAUGAAAAGGAUUACUGCAUUUUAGGAAUCUGUACUUAUAUAUAAAAAAUGCAAAGUGUAAGGUACACAUGCUUGGUGAAUUAUUAUUUUUAUUUUGAAAAUUUUCUGGGUGAUCCAAUAAUUAAGUGUUACUAAUACACCUUUUUCAAUCUAUGAUUAAAAGAUUAUACUUUCAAGAUUUCACAAAUCAAUGUAAAUAAGAUAAAUGCAAUAAUAAUAUAAUGUCACUGAAGAAAGUCUAGCUGUAAAAUACAUAAAACAGUUAUAUAUAACUGGGGGCUGUUUCAUGUAGUGAUAUUACUCAGUUAACCAAUAACUUUUGAAAACAAGUUGACAAAAGUCAGGAUUGUCGAUUUCACAAUAUUAUAUGUAAGAAUACUGCUCGUUAUGGCUAAACGUUAAAAGUGUUUUUUUUUUUACUGUGUUGGGAACUCGGAUCAGUUCCUUAAAGCAACAGUGUAUUGUGCAAUGAGGAAAAUGUGUGCAUUAAAACAGUUUUUUGGGAA